CCAACACAACACCAAUAAACCAAACAACAUAAAAUAGAAGCAAAACAUGUAAGAUAAAAAAUGAGGAAACUCAAUACGAACAACAAUGCAUAACGGAACCAUACUCGACGCUCACCGCUAAAAUUAUGCCUCCCCGUCCGGAUCUGGGAAAUCGAGAGACAAGACUAUGUGAAAGGCAAGUUAGAGAGGAUGAAGGGGCGCCGCCACCGCUGGUCGGCCGAUCGUCCCAUGUGUUUUGAAACUAACCUGUGUGAGAGAGACUUACGAAAGAGAGGUGAAUGUGUUAGUUUCUUUUGUUACUUCUGUAACAUGCGACGAAAGAGAGGAGAGUCUUUUAUUC
Molecule: long non-coding RNA, 340 nt
Organism: Lathyrus oleraceus (garden pea)
Lineage: Eukaryota; Viridiplantae; Streptophyta; Magnoliopsida; Fabales; Fabaceae
Exons: 2
Source: RefSeq, a predicted model, not a curated record